This 495-nucleotide ribosomal RNA is filed under the name uncultured bacterium. RNAcentral describes it as "partial 16S ribosomal RNA". It matches the Rfam family "Bacterial small subunit ribosomal RNA", at positions 28 to 507 of the family's 1533-position model. The record is from RNAcentral.
GAUGAACGCUGGCGGCGUGCCUAAUACAUGCAAGUAGAACGCUGAAGGAGGAGCUUGCUCUUCUGGAUGAGUUGCGAACGGGUGAGUAACGCGUAGGUAACCUGCCUGGUAGCGGGGGAUAACUAUUGGAAACGAUAGCUAAUACCGCAUGACAACAGUUAUUGCAUGAUAACUGUUUAAAAGGGGCAACUGCUCCACUACCAGAUGGACCUGCGUUGUAUUAGCUAGUUGGUGAGGUAACGGCCCACCAAGGCGACGAUACAUAGCCGACCUGAGAGGGUGAUCGGCCACACUGGGACUGAGACACGGCCCAGACCCCUACGGGAGGCAGCAGUAGGGAAUCUUCGGCAAUGGACGGAAGUCUGACCGAGCAACGCCGCGUGAGUGAAGAAGGGUUUCGGAUCGUAAAGCUCUGUUGUAAGAGAAGAACGAGUGUGAGAGUGGAAAGUUCACACUGUGACGGUAUCUUACCAGAAAGGGACGGCUAACUACGUG